This 497-nucleotide ribosomal RNA is filed under the name uncultured bacterium. Its description in RNAcentral is "partial 16S ribosomal RNA". It matches the Rfam family "Bacterial small subunit ribosomal RNA", at positions 28 to 507 of the family's 1533-position model. The record is from RNAcentral.
GACGAACGCUGGCGGCGUGCCUAAUACAUGCAAGUUGAGCGCUGAAGGUUGGUACUUGUACCAACUGGAUGAGCAGCGAACGGGUGAGUAACGCGUGGGGAAUCUGCCUUUGAGCGGGGGACAACAUUUGGAAACGAAUGCUAAUACCGCAUAAAAACUUUAAACACAAGUUUUAAGUUUGAAAGAUGCAAUUGCAUCACUCAAAGAUGAUCCCGCGUUGUAUUAGCUAGUUGGUGAGGUAAAGGCUCACCAAGGCGAUGAUACAUAGCCGACCUGAGAGGGUGAUCGGCCACAUUGGGACUGAGACACGGCCCAAACUCCUACGGGAGGCAGCAGUAGGGAAUCUUCGGCAAUGGACGAAAGUCUGAACGAGCAACGCCGCGUGAGUGAAGAAGGUUUUCGGAUCGUAAAACCCUGUUGGUAGAGAAGAACGUUGGUGAGAGUGGAAAGCUCAUCAAGUGACGGUAACUACCCAGAAAGGGACGGCUAACUACGUG